Molecule: ribosomal RNA, 468 nt
Filed under: uncultured bacterium
Lineage: Bacteria
Description: partial 16S ribosomal RNA
Rfam family: Bacterial small subunit ribosomal RNA
Source: RNAcentral
GACGAACGCUGGCGGCGUGCUUAACACAUGCAAGUCGAACGGAAAGGCCCUGCUUUUGUGGGGUGCUCGAGUGGCGAACGGGUGAGUAACACGUGAGUAACCUGCCCUUGACUUUGGGAUAACUUCAGGAAACUGGGGCUAAUACCGGAUAGGAGCUCCUGCUGCAUGGUGGGGGUUGGAAAGUUUCGGCGGUUGGGGAUGGACUCGCGGCUUAUCAGCUUGUUGGUGGGGUAGUGGCUUACCAAGGCUUUGACGGGUAGCCGGCCUGAGACGGUGACCGGCCACAUUGGGACUGAGAUACGGCCCAGGCUCCUACGGGAGGCAGCGGUGGGGAAUAUUGCACAAUGGUCGGAAGCCUUAUGCAGCAACGCCGCUUGCGGGAUGACGGCCUUCGGGUUGUAAACCGCUUUCGCCUGUAACGAAGCGUGAGUGACGGUAAUGGGUAAAGAAGCACCGGCUAACUACGUG